AGAACUCUAAUCUAAUCUAAUCUCAUCCAUGAUCCAUCAUUUCUACACUCUAUGCUCUCUCUCUUCUCUAUUCAACUGCAUAUGCUUUCUAUUACUAUGUUAUAUUUUCCAGUACGGUAGGCUAUAUAGUUUGAGUCUCUCCACUUACUACCUGCUCCACAGUUUCGAAUAAUAGUCCCUUCUUUUGUAAUAGUGUAGGUCUGUCACCAUUGUCCACUGGUCUACCCUCUCUUUCUCAACUCACUCCUUCUCAGUCGGAGUAUUUCGCGCCCUUUUUGGUUGGGUUUGCCUUUUGGUUAGUUGUAGUGUUGUAGUCACUAAACUGUCACUAGUCAGUCGCAAGGGCCAGUUAGUUCAGUUCAUCAUGUAUUGAAUACAGAUUACAGUUCAUGUUUCCAGUGUUUUAUCCGGGAAUUUAUUUGUUUUGAAGUCACUUGAUCUUCUAUUAUCAAUGAGACGUAUGUCGCGUCAUGCGCCGAUACAGCUUUGAAGGGGCGCACAAUCACGAGUAUCAUGGGGAAGCUGGUGACCCUUCGUUGCCAUAUACUUUUCGUGGAAAAGAGUUCAACGCAAGGACGACCAUGAGAUAGAGAAAAAACCAUUCAAGGGCCUUCUCAUAACUAAAGUUAUGAUUGACAUGGAGAAAAGGAGAAGAAACAGUCGUCUGCUGAAGUCAAUGAAGUCGAGACACUUGAAAAUUUUAAUUUGGAGCUCCAGCCAUAAAAUACAAUUCGUCGCAUUACUAUGUUAAUUAUGAAUGUUUAAGUAAAGGAUUUAUUCAUCAAUUUUGAAGUUAUGUAAUUUUUUCAAAUCCAGCUGAAUAUACUAUUUAUUCUAUAAAGGAGAUUAUAUGUCAAUGAUUUUGAAUCAUUCUGAAGAACUUAUUCAAUCAUUUCUAAAGUGAUUUAAAGUAGUUUAUUAAUCAUAAUUUUGCUCACUUAAAGCAUUGUAAAUCAUUGUAGAGUGAUUUGAGAGUAAUUUAAAAGUGUUUUUAAUCUACUUUGAAAUGCUUUGAAGUGAUUUAAAAAGUACAUAAAUCGAUGAUUCUAAAUGAUUUUUAAGAACUUAUUUAAUCAUUUGAAAGUGAUUUUCAAGUAGUUUAUA
This 1104-nucleotide long non-coding RNA is filed under the name Nilaparvata lugens (brown planthopper). RNAcentral's name for it is "uncharacterized LOC111044288". Lineage: Eukaryota; Metazoa; Arthropoda; Insecta; Hemiptera; Delphacidae. The record is from RNAcentral.